This 253-nucleotide ribosomal RNA is filed under the name uncultured bacterium. Its description in RNAcentral is "partial 16S ribosomal RNA". It matches the Rfam family "Bacterial small subunit ribosomal RNA", at positions 524 to 776 of the family's 1533-position model. The record is from RNAcentral.
UACAGAGGUCUCAAGCGUUGUUCGGAGUUACUGGGCGUAAAGGGUGCGCAGGCCGCGCGGGCAGUCAAAUGUGUAAUUCAGGGGCUCAACCCCUGCACUGCGCUUGAUACUUCCGCGCUCGAACCUUGGAGAGGAGUCUGGAAUUCUCGGUGUAGCAGUGAAAUGCGUGGAUAUCGAGAAGAACACUUAGGGCGAAAGCAAGACUCUGGACAAGUGUUGACGCUCAUGCACGAAGGCUAGGGUAGCGAACGGG